This 253-nucleotide ribosomal RNA is filed under the name uncultured bacterium. RNAcentral's name for it is "partial 16S ribosomal RNA". It matches the Rfam family "Bacterial small subunit ribosomal RNA", at positions 524 to 776 of the family's 1533-position model. The record is from RNAcentral.
UACGUAGGGGGCAAGCGUUGUCCGGAAUUAUUGGGCGUAAAGAGCGCGUAGGCGGUCCGAUAAGUCGGCUGUGAAAGUCAGGGGCUCAACCCUUGGAAGCCGGCCGAUACUGUCGGACUAGAGUCCGGAAGAGGCAAGUGGAAUUCCCGGUGUAGCGGUGAAAUGCGUAGAUAUUCGCAAGAACACCAGUGGCGAAGGCGGCUCACUGGCCCGGUACUGACGCUGAGGUGCGAAAGCGUGGGGAGCAAACAGG